Molecule: small RNA, 673 nt
Filed under: Pongo abelii (Sumatran orangutan)
Lineage: Eukaryota; Metazoa; Chordata; Mammalia; Primates; Hominidae
Description: processed transcript
Source: RNAcentral
GGAAGUGGGCGCUCAGAGCUCGGGGGCGGCGCUCAGUUAUCCAGCCAAAAUCUAGUACUUUGCUAUUCAAAAGUGUCUGGGGACCAGCAGCAUCAGCAUCUCAGGUCCUGCCCCAGGCUAUUGAAUUAGAGCCUGCAUUUGACAAAACCACCCACCCCCAGAAAACAUCUGGAGAAAAUGACCCAUUGGUUUCAUAGGAACCCAUUAAAAGCCACAGCUCCUGUGUCUUUUAAUUACUAUGGUGUAGUCACUGGCCCUUCUGCUUCAAAAAUAUGCAAGCACCUACCAAAUUCUGGAUAUACAGCCUCUACUCUCUUGGUGCUUACCAUUUAAAUUUAGUCUUUCUUAAAUGGUUUACACAUAUUUCAAGGGUCUUUGGUCAUACCCAUGUAUUGUAGUUUCGGAAGCCUCACUAAGCUAAUUGCCUUCUGGAUUCGAUUUGGAACUGGGAUAGAACCAAGUGAAAGCUAAUGAUGGAAAUCUAGGAAUUGAUACAGUUGAAGCUAUACUAAUAGUGACUUGAGGUCAUCCAGGGCACGACUCCUUGAACUGUUCACUGAUUUGAGCUGUAAUCCAGAAAUGAUGAAGAAUGCAGCAGAUUCAUAUUUCUCACUUUUACAAGGUUUCAUAAAUUCUUUGGAUGAAUCUACCCAAGAAAGCAAGUUACGAUAUA